UCGGCGCCGUCCACAACUUCAUCGUGUGAGAGCUUCUGCUCCAGAUCCUCUUCCUCCGUGGUCCCCGCACGCCGUGACGACCAGGUCUGCAACCGAAACUGAAGCAUAGUGUUCUUGGAACCAAACUAAAGCAAUGCAACGAGAAGUACAAAAACUUGGGCUGAUGUACCUUGUCCUAUACCCACUUCUUUGCCUCGAUGUAGGAAUCUGAUAGAAAAAACAAGGUAUGUCCCUCCACAUAUUCAAGAGGAAAAUUUGAUUGCUGAAAAUGCUUGCGUUUAUAGAAUUUAAUUUUGCUAUAUGUUUAUUAUUUUAAUUCAAUCCAGUAUCUAUUUUUAGUUCAGUUCAAUUAUCAUUUUGGUUUAAGUUCAAGCCAAUUCUUAUUUUAUUUUAUUGUCUUGUGCUUCCAUCCAUUCUGUGAUCUAGAGAAGCUAUCGUGGUGUUAAUUUGUGUCUUCUGACUUGUGUAGUUUGAUUUCUUCGCACACUGUCUUGUCCAUGUG
This 502-nucleotide long non-coding RNA is filed under the name Triticum aestivum (bread wheat). RNAcentral's name for it is "long non-coding RNA (TAES_LNC003718)". Lineage: Eukaryota; Viridiplantae; Streptophyta; Magnoliopsida; Poales; Poaceae. The record is from RNAcentral.